UAGGGAAUCUUCCGCAAUGGACGAAAGUCUGACGGAGCAACGCCGCGUGAGUGAAGAAGGAUUUCGGUUCGUAAAACUCUGUUGUUAGGGAAGAAAAAAUGUAUAGUAACUAUAUACAAAAGAGACGGUACCUAACCAGAAAGACACGGCUAACUACGUGCCAGCAGCCGCGGUAAUACGUAGAUGGCAAGCGUUGUCCGGAAUUAUUGGGCGUAAAGCGCGCGCAGGUGGUUUAGAAAGUCUGUUGUGAAAGCCCACGGCUCAACCGUGGAGAGUCAUUGGAAACUAAUAAACUUGAGUGCAGGAGAGAAAAGUGGAAUUCCUAGUGUAGCGGUGAAAUGCGUAGAGAUUAGGGGUAACACCGGUGGCGAAAGCGGCUUUUUGGCCUGCAACUGACACUGAGGCGCGAAAGCGUGGGGAGCAAACAGG
This 429-nucleotide ribosomal RNA is filed under the name Verrucomicrobiota bacterium. Its description in RNAcentral is "Verrucomicrobia bacterium partial 16S ribosomal RNA". It matches the Rfam family "Bacterial small subunit ribosomal RNA", at positions 355 to 776 of the family's 1533-position model. Lineage: Bacteria; Pseudomonadati; Verrucomicrobiota. The record is from RNAcentral.